This 302-nucleotide long non-coding RNA is filed under the name Brassica napus (rape). RNAcentral's name for it is "long non-coding RNA (BNAP_LNC017634)". The record is from RNAcentral. Lineage: Eukaryota; Viridiplantae; Streptophyta; Magnoliopsida; Brassicales; Brassicaceae.
CGUCUUUUUCCAUUUACGACGAAAUUACGUCGAAUCGAUUUACCAGGCUUUCCGUUUACGACGAAGUUACCAGGCCCGUCUUUUUCCAUUUACGACGAAAUUACGUCGAAUCGAUUUACCAGGCUUUUCCGUUUACGACGAAGUUACUAGACCCGUCUUUUUCCAUUUACGACGAAAUUACGUGGAAUCGAUUUAACCAUUUACGACGAAGUUACCAAGCCCGUGUUAUUUUUACAACGAUUUUACAACGCUUAGCCCUAAACACCGAGAAUGAAAUCCCUAAACCCCAAAGUCACAUAUCA